Molecule: non-coding RNA, 2561 nt
Organism: Amborella trichopoda
Lineage: Eukaryota; Viridiplantae; Streptophyta; Magnoliopsida; Amborellales; Amborellaceae
Source: RefSeq, a predicted model, not a curated record
AAUUUUGAGUUGUAGAGAGAGAAAGUAUAUUAAAAUUUUAGAGAGAGAAACUGUAUCAAGUUUUGUUGCCAAAAAAAUAGACAUAGAAGUAAUUGCAAAGAAUCAUGAAUUUUUUAUAGUUUAUCCAAACACAAGAUUUAAAGAAUCCAUGACAAAAAUCUUUGAUAUUGAAAAUCUAUGGAUUUUGUUGGAUUUCAAAUAUCUAAGAUUCUUAAUUUCUGCUAUCCAAAUGGCCUUAAGGACUUGUUUGGAUACAUGGAAUAUGGGACAUGGACUUAUAAUAUAUCUUGGAUAAUACCAAAAUCCAUUGUUUGGAUUGCUUAAAGACUAGGAUACCUAAAAUCAGGAAAUCAAAAUCAUGGAAAUGUGACCUAUUUUUCCAUGAUCCCAUUUCCUCCCAAAAAAUGAGACCUUUCCAUGUCGCAGAAACUCCCCAAUCCAAUCCUUCAUGCCAUGGCUCUCUCUCUCCAACCAGGGCUUUGCAUAUUUUUUGAAGUAUACACACAAGGUUGGCUUGUUCAAUCUAUCUGCAAGCACACAAAUAAGUUUGCAAUUGGGGAUUUAUUAUUUUUCCUACCAUUUGAAUUGUAGAAAUAUAGAACAAAUUUUGUAUCUGAUUAAUUGGGUUUUGGUGGUUUGGGUUUUUAUCUUUAUGUUCCUUAAUGGUUGAGUUUUUCACAGUGAGGGAUAUCUGGUUUUUGAUGGUUUAGGGCAUUGAUUUUAUGCCUUGUUGGUUGAUUUGUUUUGUGGGUGAGCAUUGUAGUCUUAGCCAAAAGACUGGUGGGUGUUUAAUUGUUUUCAUUGAGUUUGAUUCAUGUAAUUUUGGGCUUUCUUAUGAGUUAUUUAGUAUAUUGUGUAAGUCUCUCUAUUUGAUUAUGAUUGACUGAAUUUAUUCAUUUUCAUCAGCCUAUGCAUUGUUUUACUGUGUGGGUUCUGAUAGAUCUAAGUUUUUUGUAUAUUAAAUUCUUAUAGCACUCUUAAGAUUGGAUGAUACAGUCUAAACCUAGUUGUGGAUUUAUUAUGAAUAUUUUUGUUUCUCUAUUUGUGAACAAGGUACUGAUCUCUAUCUAUUAAAUGAGUUACUGAUUUUGUCCAUUUUCAUCAGUUCAUGCAUUGUUUUGAUUUUAAGAAUCUCAUAGAUCCAACAUACGCAUAUCAAAUUUUUGGUUUUGUAGGAGCAAAAGCAUAUGUUGAUCUUCCCAUAGCAUAAGCACCUCUAAAUACAAAUCUUGUCAAACUAGAUUCAUCUCAAAUCCAAUACUAAUUCUUUUUUCCACCAAAUUCAUUCGCACAUAUUCAAAGUUAUCAUCCUCUUUUCAGGAAUGCUUAUUUGUUAUUUGUUUCCAAACCAUAUUCUUCCUUCACAAAGAAUUAAUCUAGCCUUGAACUUAUUUAUAAGCUUAUGGCUCCUUUGCUUUGGAGGGUAGGGUUUAGGGAUUAAACCACAAUGGCAUGGGGUUCCAAAGUGUGUCAUUGUAUUUAUUGCAUUGAAUUAGCUCAUAUCAAGUGGCUUAGCAAAUUAAAUAAAACAAAAAACAACCUUAAAAGUUCUGAAUAAGAUUAAAAAUUUAAAAAAAGUGCACCUAAAAGGCGUUGAUUAAUAUUUAGGACUAGCAAAUCGUCCAGCAACUUAAUGUAGUGAACGAUUGAUUCAAUAUGGGCAAAGUUGCGCUACUCUAACAACAUAGUUUAGUUUCCUAGAUUUAACCAUGUGGAUUGUUUUUAUCUAAUUUUCAUAGUGUGAACAUUACAGUUUGGGAGACUAUGUUUUUGUGAUUGGAACUAAUAUUGUGCAUCUCCAUUCCAAUUUGGAUGCAUUUCAAUUUUAUGAUAACAUCUUUAUUAUUCGUAUUUUACUGUUUAAUUUCCCAUUUGAUAUUUAGCUUUGUUUCUUAUCUUUUUGCAAGUUAUUUAAGUUCUAUGCAGCUUUUAAGAAUGAAUUGUCUGAGAAUGUGGCUUUAUGAAUGAUAGAUGUCUAAUAACAAUGGGAAAAUGUCUGUACUAAUGAAAUGGAAACGGAAGAGGACGAUGAACUUGAUAUGUUAACCAUGCUUAUGUUGGUAGUUGCAACUACAUGUGUCGCAGCUGCGGCCUGGUAUCAUACAAGUUAUAUAGAUAGAGAACCAAAUGUGGAUAGAAAGAAACAAAUGCAUAAAUGGAAUCAUUAACGUAUCAAAUGUACAAUGUCGGAACCAAUUGAGAUUGAGUAAGCAUGUUUUUCUUUAUCUUUGUAACAUCUUAUGGGAUAGAGGCAUUCUGCAUCCCACAAGAAGGGUGUCUAUAAGAACAAUUAGUAAUAUUUCUGCACACUCUUAGCCACAAUGUUAAUAAUCGAGAGAUUGGCAACCGAUUUUCUCGUUCCGACGAAACGGUUAAUCGAUAUUUCAAUGUUGUACUAAAUGCAGUAGUGGGCCUCUACUCAGACUUUAUGAAAUAGGCUAGCUCUACAACUCUUACAGAGAACAACAGUCAAUUGGCCCCAUAUUUUAAGGUGAUUACCUAUCACAAUCUCACAUUAUUUAUGGUGGAUUAUCAUUCACAUAUUUUAAGGUGAUUACCUA